Molecule: non-coding RNA, 487 nt
Filed under: Astyanax mexicanus (Mexican tetra)
Lineage: Eukaryota; Metazoa; Chordata; Actinopteri; Characiformes; Acestrorhamphidae
Description: Eukaryotic small subunit ribosomal RNA
Rfam family: Eukaryotic small subunit ribosomal RNA
Source: Rfam by way of RNAcentral
ACUAUUUUAUAAGCUUCAGUUUUGGCUAGGGGCAAAGCAGCUCACUGGGCAUUGAGAAAUAUCCAGCUCAGUAAUACUAAGCCUAUGCGAGAGGUCUUCAGUUAUAGACCAUAAAUAUACAGUAGUUUUGAGUCCUGAUUUGUGUAAUUACUGAUGUAGUUCAUUAACAUUGUAACACAAUAUCUGGUCUAUAAGCCCUAUCAGCUGUGGAUGGUAGCAUAGGGGGCUACCAUGGUGACCACGGGUAACGGGGAAUCAGGGUUCGAUUCCGGAGAGGGAGCCUGAGAAAUGGCUACCACAUCCAAGGAAGACAGCAGGCGCGCAAAUUACCCAUUACCGACACGGUGAGGUAGUGACGAAAAAUAACGAUGCAGGUCUCUUUCGAGGCCCCUGUAAAUCGGAAUGAACGUAUCCUAAACACAUGGGUGAGGACCCAUUGGAGGGCAAGUCUGGUGGCCAGCAGCCGCGGUAAUCCAGCUUAGUUAGU